UCAGGCCUAACACAUGCAAGUCGAGCGGAUGACGGGAGCUUGCUCCUUGAUUCAGCGGCGGACGGGUGAGUAAUGCCUAGGAAUCUGCCUGGUAGUGGGGGACAACGUUUCGAAAGGAACGCUAAUACCGCAUACGUCCUACGGGAGAAAGCAGGGGACCUUCGGGCCUUGCGCUAUCAGAUGAGCCUAGGUCGGAUUAGCUAGUAGGUGAGGUAAUGGCUCACCUAGGCGACGAUCCGUAACUGGUCUGAGAGGAUGAUCAGUCACACUGGAACUGAGACACGGUCCAGACUCCUACGGGAGGCAGCAGUGGGGAAUAUUGGACAAUGGGCGAAAGCCUGAUCCAUCAAGGCCGCGUGUGUGAAGAAGGUCUUCGGAUUGAAAGCACAUGAAGUUGGGAGGAAGGGCAGUAAGCUAAUACCUUGCUGUU
This 430-nucleotide ribosomal RNA is filed under the name uncultured bacterium. Its description in RNAcentral is "bacterial SSU rRNA". It matches the Rfam family "Bacterial small subunit ribosomal RNA", at positions 43 to 469 of the family's 1533-position model. The record is from RNAcentral.